Molecule: microRNA precursor, 54 nt
Organism: Gorilla gorilla gorilla (western lowland gorilla)
Lineage: Eukaryota; Metazoa; Chordata; Mammalia; Primates; Hominidae
Source: Ensembl
GGACAAGGGCGGCGCGACCGGCCCGGGGCUCUUGGGCAGCCGCGUUUCCCAUCC